GGUAAUCAAUAUUCAAUUAACAGCUACCAAAACAAAUAAUAUAUAUUUGUAUGGAUUUUCAACUUAUUUUUAUCUUAUUAAAAAAAAAAAAAAAUGAAGGGGUGGCUGUUGGAUGUGGAUGGCAAGCAUUUGUGGCGUAUGUAAAUGUUGGGUGUUAUUACCUGGUUGGAGUCCCAGUAGGGGUUCUUCUUGGCUUCAAGUUCAAUCUGGGUACCAAGGUACCAAUAAUUUUACAUUACUUAACAUUUUAUUGUUUGUUAGAAAUUAAUUAGUUUCUAAUUUGUAGGGAUUAUGGUCUGGAAUGAUUGGAGGCACGUUCCUGCAAACUAUUAUUCUGAUAUGGGUUACAUAUCGAACAAAUUGGAAUCAAGAGGUAAAUUCUAUCUCAUUUCAUAAAUCUAAAAUUUCAAAACAAUAGUUAUAUUUUAAAAAUAGAUAAAUAUUCAUUCUCAUAUUUAUAUUUAUAAUAUAAAUAAAGCACGCUCAACCUUUUUUAUUUAAGUUAUACGGAGACAAUACGAAAGUUUGGAUGUGAUUGUACAUUCCCUGACAUUGAUGUUUGAUUAGGUAGGGAAAGGGUAAUCUAUUAAGCAUAGACUAUUGUCCAUGCCUUCUUUCAAACCUCGUCAUCGCCCAAAAUAAUGGUCGCUCACCAACCCCAAUCUCUCCUCUUUACUCCAUAGCCGUCUUCUUUUUUCCCCGAUGCUCUUUUUAUUUCCUUUCUUCAUGUCUCACUCUCACUGUCUCACAUCUUUAUUUUUUAAUAUAUAAUUUUUGAAAUAAUGGGUAUGUUAUUUUUAAAUUCUAGUCUAUAUUAUUCCAACAGAUUGGAAACUUCAAAUGAAAGUAAAUUUUCCAAAUUUUCAGGUGGAGAAAGCAAAUGAUAGGUUGAAGAAAUGGCAAGACAGAAAGGAGUCCCUUCAGGAGAGCUAGAGUACUAAUAUUCAUUUCUUGUGUAGAGCUGUUUCCAUGAAGAAUUUGUUCAAAAAAUGUGGAAAAAUUCAUUUCAAUUCAUAUUUUUGGAAUAUAUUUUGAAAGGAUAGUUUAUAAUAAAUAUUUAAAAUUUGAAUUCUUAGCAGAAGAAGAGCAGAAGGUUGACAAAGGAUCGUCUUCUUCUUUCUUGAUAGAAAUUAGAAAGUUCGAAUGCUGUAUUGCGACAGACUACAAAUAAUGUUGAUGCGUGUGUUGACUUGUAAAAUAUGGGAUAAGGCCCACUGGCCCACCAUUUGUCGAACCACGCGGCCUGCUAUUUGUUGGUAGGAUCAUAUUUCAGUAGGAUUUCGUGAUCUAAUAAGAAUCCACUCAUUCACUCAUUCAUUUGCUUUUUCUCAAUGGAUGAGUAUUUUGUAGUACUAACUAAAGCCUUGUUAAGUUCAAAAUACUUGACUUUCCGACAACGAAAUUAUUUUCCAGAAGGUAUAAUUUACGUGUGUUUGGUUUGCAAUUCAAUUUCUUAAGAAGCAAAUUAUUCUCAAAUUAUAAAUUACAUUAAUAUUCAUAAUAUAAAUUUGAGUGAAUUUAGAUAAUAUUAUAAAUUGAUAAAUGCACUGCACUUAAUUAGUGAAGUGUAACUUUCCUACCCAUAUUUAAGGAAUUUACUUCUCUUGUGUAAGAAAAGUUUAACGAUCUACUUCUCAGGAAGUAGAAUUGAUAAUACAAACCGAACACAAAUUAUUUUAUACACUUUUCAGAAAGUUGCACUUCCUUAGUUAACUUACUUCCAACUAAACAUCGAGUUCAUGGUAUUAUAUUUUGCAAAAUAUAUAGAAAGCCUAAUGGAUAUGGAAAUAACGAUCGAGAAAAAUCAUGUUACUUACACCAUUAACUUCCGGAUCUUGACCUGACCCAUUUUAAGCGGGAAAUAUUAGGUUUUAAUAAUUUCCAUUAAAAAAAAAUAUUUAGGCAGCAUAAUGCAUGCAUGCAUGUAAUAAAUGUUUUGGCACGUGAAAUUUUCGAUCUUUGCCCUACAAACCUGCACCCAUAUAUAUAAUUUAAUUGAAUUGUGGAAUGAAUUAUAUAAUAUAAAUGGAUUAAAUGAGAACGUAAAGCAAUAAUAAGUAAUUUUUUUUAACAAUCUACAAAGGAGCUCACGCAGUUCUAUUUCACAAAUUAAGAAUAAAUCUCCUACUUAUAAUUGGUUAUAAGGGUCAAUUGUUCUUUUUGGCUAAUACACAUCAAUAAUUGUAACCACACCUACUUUCUUUUAAUUAACCAAUUAAAAGGUUUUUUCCCUUUUAAAUGCACUGCCACUUCAUGGAAUGAAGGACUAAGCUUUGGCUACCUCUCCAGACCUGAGUUAGAGACAGACAACUUAAAAGCAAAGAAAAUGAGUCCUCAAGACUCCGGCCAUGAAGGAGUGAGCUCCGAGCUAGAACAGAUACUAACAGACACCAAUUCGAGCCCUAUUAAGCGCUUCAGAUCAGCUACAUGGGUUGAACUGAAAUUGCUCUUCUAUCUUGCAGCUCCAGCAGUAAUAGUCUAUUUGCUUAAUAGCGUAGUGUCCAUGUCCACUCAGAUCUUCUGUGGCCAUCUCGGUACUCUUCAACUCGCCGCCGUUUCUCUUGGCAACACCGGAAUCCAAGUUUUCGCCUAUGGCCUCAUGGUACGUAUAUAUGUCAACUUAACUCAACCACUAAAUAAAAUUUUAAAUUUAUUGAGUGUAACUUCUUUUUGUUCUUAAAAAAAAAUUGCAGCUUGGAAUGGGAAGUGCAGUCGAAACACUAUGUGGACAGGCAUAUGGAGCGCAUAAAUAUGAAAUGCUUGGAGUAUAUUUGCAAAAAUCAACUGUUCUGUUAAUGGCAACUGGAAUCCCUUUAACGUUGAUCUAUGUGUUUUGCAAGCCAAUUUUGAUUUUAUUCGGUGAACCAAGUGACAUAGCAACAGCAGCAGAACGUUUUGUGUUUGGACUAAUCCCUCAAAUUUUUGCAUAUGCUGCCAAUUUUCCAAUACAAAAAUUCAUGCAAGCACAAAGCAUAAUAGCCCCAAGUGCAUAUAUAUCACUCGCUGGACUUAUAUUGCACUUGUUAUUGACAUGGGUUGCAUUAUACAAGCUUAACUGGGGCUUGCUUGGUGCAGCCUUGGUUUUGAGUUUCUCGUGGUGGUUUAUGGUUUUGGCUCAGUUUGUUUAUAUUGUAACAAGUAAAAGGUGUAAGCACACAUGGAAAGGUUUUAGCUGGCAAGCCUUUACUGGUCUCUGGAGCUUCUUCAAGUUGUCUCUUGCUUCUGCAGUAAUGUUGUGCUUAGAGACUUGGUACUUUGAGGUCUUAGUUCUCAUUGCUGGGCUGCUUAAGAACGCUGAGGUCGCUUUGGAUGCUCUCUCUAUUUGGUAAUUAACUAAACUUUUAUCUCUUUAUUUGAUCUUAUUAUGUUCAUUAAUUUGAGAUUUAAUUCUUCUUGCAGCCUGACCAUAUCUGUAUGGGUAUUCAUGAUUUCUGUUGGGUUCAACGCAGCUGCGAGGUCUGUAUUUGAUUAUGGCCUUAACGAUCAGUUUGGUUUUAAUUAUUAAAUUUUGCGAGUAACCAACAAAUUUUUUGUAUGAUUAACAAGAACAGUGUGAGAGUGAGCAAUGAAUUAGGAGCUGGGCAUCCAAAAUCAGCAGCAUUUUCAGUUAUUGUACUGACUUCAUCUUCUUUUAUAAUUGCCGCGAUCGCGGCCAUUAUUGUUUUGGUGUUCCGUGAUGUUAUUAGCUAUGGUUUCACUGAAGGUGAAGUUGUUGCUAAAGCAGUCUCUGAACUCACUCCCUACUUGGCUAUUACUCUCAUUCUCAACGGUGUUCAACCUGUUUUGUCUGGUAAGAUAUUAAUAUAUUUUUAACUUCUUCUUUCAUUUACACGAGCUAACAAUAAUAUAAUCAAUUCACUCGAAUUGAAUAAUUUUGUUAAGGAAUGUAAAAAUUCAAAUGUAAUAAAUAUUUGAGAAUAGAGGGAGAAUAUCAUAAUUUGUAGCAAUUUAUUAUCAGACAAUAUCUAAUAACUUAUUGAUUUUGAAUGUUUGAAUUGUGAAAGGUGUGGCUGUUGGAUGCGGAUGGCAAGCUUUUGUGGCUUAUGUUAAUGUAGGAUGUUAUUACUUUAUUGGAGUUCCAUUGGGAGCCAUUCUUGGCUUUGUGUUUGACCUAGGUGCCAAGGUAUUAUUAUACUUCCAUUAAUCUUGUUAAUUUAGAUAAUUAAGUGCCUAAAAUUAAGAACCCUAACCCAGCUUUGAAUUUGUUGCAUUUGUAGGGAAUAUGGUCAGGAAUGAUAGGAGGUACUUUCUUGCAGACAAUAAUUCUGCUGUGGGUCACCUACAGAACUGAUUGGGAUAAAGAGGUAAAUAUUGGUAAUUUAGAAAUUGUGAAAUGACCAUAUUUUUGUUUUUAACUAUUUUAAUUUUGAAAUUAUCAGGUGGAAAUUGCCAAAAAUAGACUCAACGCAUGGGAGGAGAAGGAGGAGCCACUUUUGGACAAAUAGUGUUUGAUUUGUAUGUGUAAUGGAGUUCGUUUUUGUGCAUUUUUAAUUUUUUUGAAUGGUCGGCAUAAGCAACUCUUUGUAAUUAAUUUAGUGUAUAAAUGAGUCGAUACAGGAUAUAAAUAAGUCUUUUCUUGAAUGAACUUUUGGAUAAAUUUUAAGGUAAAAAGUAAUUAUACGUUGUGGGUGAAAAAAAAAAAAAAUCUGAUUUGGGAGGCAUUAAAAUAGCAAGUUGUUGCUAUCGGAAACCUUUUUGCCUAAAACUAAAAGCAGAGGUUCAGAAUCCAGACUUAUGCAUGUGCUUACCAAAAACCUGUCCUGCCCAUAUCAGCCGCCGCAACUAUAUUUCUCUUUAACAGGCGCAACGGCAAGCUGGCAACUAAAGAUACAAAAAUUGAGGUCCGUUUUUAAGACGGGCUUUUUUUGUCCGACCCAUUUUUUAUGAAAGUCUCUGUGGAUUGAGCUAGGCGAACCAAACGACAUAGCGUCUGCUGCUGCACUUUUCGUUUACGGGCUGAUCCCUCAAAUUUUCGCUUAUGCCGCUAACUUUCCCGUACAAAAAUUCUUACAAGCACAAAGCAUGGUCAAACCAAGUGCGUACAUAGCACUGGCUACGCUUUUUGUGCACUUGUUCAUUACAUGGCUAGGAGUGUUCAAGUUCAACUGGGGCUUGUUAGGCGCAUCAUUAAUACUCAGUUUUUCUUGGUGGGUGAUUGUGUUGGCUCAGUUUGCUUACAUUGUAAUGAGCAAAAGGUGUAAGAAAACAUGGUCUGGUUUUAGCAUUCAGGCUUUUUUUGGUCUUUGGGGUUUCUUUAAAUUGUCAGCAGCAUCCGCUAUCAUGUUGUGUUUGGAGACUUGGUACUAUCAAGUUUUGGUGUUGAUUGCUGGGUUGCUUCCAAAUCCACAGAUUGCCUUGGAUUCUCUCUCUGUCUGGUACGUUGUUCUUUCUAGAUACACAUGAGUUUUUUUGUUUUUUUUUUUGUUUUGGUCUAUAAUCACCAGUGUCAUCAUAUGCUGUAUGCCCACUGAACUCUGACUACUGUCAGUUUUGACUAAUUGACUAUAUUUGCUUGUUUGAACCCUGUUUGGAGCUAGACGGUUCAAAUUGAGUUGUGUUUAGACCUUACCCUCAAUUAAUUAAUUUAAUUCUGUUUGCAGCAUGACGAUAAGUGGAUGGGUUUAUAUGAUUUCAGUUGGAUUUAACGCUGCUGCUAGGUUAGUUAUUUUAUACCCAUUCUUGUUCAAUUCUUAUGCAUAGUAUAAUUGCUCAAAAUUUUCAUUUGGCACCUGAUUGUUGUUAAUUUGAUAAAAGUGCAGUGUGAGAGUGAGCAAUGAGUUAGGAGCAGGACAUCCAAAAUCAGCAGAAUUUUCAGUUAUAGUGGUGAAACAUCUUCUUUCCUUAUUUCUGUAGUUGCAGCCAUCAUUGUGAUGGCACUCCGUAACUACCUCAGCUACGCUUUCACAGAAGUUGAAGUUGUUUCUAAAGCAGUGGCCGAUCUGAGUCCCUUAUUGGCUCUUACUCUAAUCCUCAACGGCAUUCAGCCUGUUUUAUCUGGUAAUUAAUAUUCAAUUAACAGCUAACAGAACAACUAAUAUAUUUGUAUGAAUUUUCAACUUAUUUUUAUCUUAUUAAAAAAAUAAAAAUGAAGGGGUGGCUGUUGGAUGUGGAUGGCAAGCAUUUGUGGCGUAUGUAAAUGUUGGGUGUUAUUACCUGGUUGGAGUCCCAGUAGGGGUUCUUCUUGGCUUCAAGUUCAAUCUGGGUACCAAGGUACCAAUAAUUU
This 6223-nucleotide long non-coding RNA is filed under the name Jatropha curcas. Its description in RNAcentral is "long non-coding RNA (JCUR_LNC003318)". Lineage: Eukaryota; Viridiplantae; Streptophyta; Magnoliopsida; Malpighiales; Euphorbiaceae. The record is from RNAcentral.